This 8628-nucleotide long non-coding RNA is filed under the name Triticum aestivum (bread wheat). RNAcentral describes it as "long non-coding RNA (TAES_LNC017939)". The record is from RNAcentral. Lineage: Eukaryota; Viridiplantae; Streptophyta; Magnoliopsida; Poales; Poaceae.
CUAUAUUUGUCUCAUCACUAUGAAAAACAAGGUUAGUAAAAUGUUCCAUGUCGAUAUAUCAUUCUUGUGUGGGUAUGCACCGUUACAAGGGGAGUUUCUUCUAACCAUGUCAUUUAAUUCAAAUGCAAUCCUAAAAUAAGACAUGGGUGUCGGGGCCGGAUUUCCGGGACAUAAAUCCCAGUAAACAACCAUUGUGUCAUCACCAGCCCCAGGAUUACUGUUGCUGGUGGACAUUUCCUUGAUAUAGAAUUCCAAGCAAUUACAAGAGAUUGGAUACAAGACCACAAAGGUCCAAUGAAUAUAACAAGGAUCUCUAGUGGUGGAUGACGGAAGCGACUCGUGGAUCUCCAAUGUUGAUGGGACUCCAUUCCCACGGGAACAGCUGACCUGGAUAACUCCUAUCUCACGUGGCUGUUAUCUCCGAAUCCUAGGUUGCGGGGGAGUCUCCGUAAUGCUCCUCUCUGAGUCAUGAUCUGGCCAAGACAAUAGCCAGGGACAAGCCAGUGAGUACGUUUGAAUGUACUCGCAAACAUCAAGAACAAAAGAUAUACCGGAUACAUAUGCUCAUGAUGAAUUAAAUUGCAUGCAUGUGCUGACUGAGUAUUAAAGCAUGGCAUGACAAAUAUUCAUACAGAAAAUAAGUCAUGUUAUUAGUAAAUCAAAGAAAUGAAAUGGAACGUUGGGCGUUGGACCGCCCAAGAAAUUCUAAGAGAAAUGCCAAACAGGUGUCUAAAAGAGAAUCGGGCAAGACAAGACCGCCCGAGAACUCAAGCGGCGCCACGAGAGGUCUUGAAAAGAAAUGCCAAACGGGUGUCUAAAAGCGACACCUCGUAAGGUCUUGAAAAUGAAUGCCACAGUCUGGUGUCUGAGCGACGCCUCAUAAAGGGCUUAUAAGAAAAUAAUAACAUGAUUAUCCAGGUGGACUAGCCAUCCCAAGUGAUACUCAGAGAUGAAAAAAAUAAACUUGAGUAUCCCGGGUAGUCUAGCCAUCCCAAGAGAUACUCAAGGUUAAACAUAAGAGGAAAAGGUUAGUCCACAACAAUAUUCAUAUCAUCAAUAAUAUUCAAAAUGGCACCAUUAGUGACAAUAAUUACCCUGCAGAACGAUCCAUGAUCAAUUUAGUUAUUUCCUCCGGAGACUGACACUAAGACCGACACUUGACCAACCCAGACUGUAGUCCUUAACCAUGGACACGGCUAUUCGAAUAGAUAUAACUCUGCAGAGGGUGUACUCUUUACCCACGUGUAUAGGAUUUCUUUAGCCAGCACCGAGACGCUGACUAAUUCCCGUUACGGCCUUUGGAUUGAAAACAAACCUGACCAGCACACACCAGAUUAACUUUCCGGAUGCCAGGAAUCACCCAAAGCAUCGUUCAAGAGAAACUCUAAGGCGGGGAGACCAUCGUCUUGAGUAGCAUGGGAUCACUAUUAACAUGCGCGGAUUACAAGGGGUGCCCCCCUCUCGGCCCAGCCGGAUACACCCAUGCCCCCUGGCCCGAUGACUGGCAUUGCAGCCGAUACCUGGAAACCCUCAUCGUGACCUCUCUGUACGGUGUGUGCAGGGAAAGGGGUUAACAACUUACUGAACCGUACCCAGCCUGUGGCCGGGACAAGUGGUAGCACGAAACCAGUAUGGGGGUUACCGGAACAAGACCCGAUCUAUGGUCAACUCAGGAGGUUUAAGUUUGCCUACAGUGGUUCGCAUAAUAUAAAUCCUUGGCAGUACCCAACAGGAUAACCACCUGGUAUGUCCCAACAUACCCUCAAUGAUCACUCUCGUCACAACGAGAUUUCAGUCUCACAGUCACUUUUCUCGUGACUGAUUCUUCCUGCAAAUUAUCCUGGACCAACACAGGCACAUAUGGAACGUGAAAGUAACUGUACUCACUUAUACUUCAUGUUUAAGUGAACAGAAAAUACCAUCAAGGGGAUCAUGCAUGUAUGACCAACAAUAUGCAAACUCUAUAGGAAUUCAACAUGUUCAUAAUUCAAAUACACAUGCCAUAAAUAAUUAUGCAGUCACCAUAUCAUGUGUUCAAAAUGCUUGCCUUGAGCAUGCAGAAAUGUUGUGUGCACUCCAAAACUUUGAAAAUUAUAUCUCCCCUCCAUUUCCUAUUUUCAAAAUAUUUUAAUGACCACACAUUUCCAAAACAGUACAUAAAAGUUGUUUGGAAAUUUGUGAAAUAAAUACUAAAAUAAACUAGAUGAAAUUUGAGAGAUAACAGAAAAAGAGUCAAGUCAUUUAAAGUUUAUAUAAUUUUCCUAUGGAUUUACUAAGCUGAAAUAAUCAAGGAAAUAGAUUGUUUAUUAGAUCCAGCAAAAACCAGGCUUAGGAAAAAUGUUCACCCUAUCUGGAUAUAUAGAGCAUGAUUGUAGGAGUGGGCACAAAUUUGAAUCAUCAAAUUUUGAUGUGAAAUGGAUGCUGUGGAAUUAUUUGAAAUCUGGUGGACAAGAAAUAGGGAAACCGAUAUUACUGUGAUUGGCUGAGUAGAGACGCGCCCUGGCCGCGGUAUAGCCGCCUGGCGCUACUGGGCCAAGCCCAGUUGUUUGGCUGCGUGGGAGGGCUGCGACGCCGAAAGCGUAGUCCAAGAAAUACACUUUCCACGCAGGAAGGCAACUUCAACGGAACUCGUCUCCACUUAAGACGAGUUGGCACGGCGCUGAGUCACUGACGGUGGGCCCGCCCGGCCCACCGGUCAGGUUUGACCAGUCCACGCGCGCGCCGUCUCCUCCGACCGAACAGAGGCGGAGCUCCGGCGAUCGGUGCCGGUGAACGGUGGCACCGUUCGGAAAACCGAGGCCACCUUCGAGCUCAGGAGGUCGAGGCGAACCCGUGGGUACCCUCCUUGGUCGUCGGAGUGGACGGAGUCACCGGCGGCGAGCUCUUCGGUGGACGGUGGCGUCGGGUGGGAUUGAGCUUUCGCCUACGGCGGCUCCUGAGCAGAAUCGAGAGGUGGGUUGGAUUCGUGGGUGCUCCAGGGUGCUGUUGGUGAAGAGAGUGGAGAGGGGGAGGCCCUAAUGGCGUCGACAUGAACGAGAAAGAGGCGGCGGCCGUGGUUGCCGGAGUUGGGGAAGAUGACCCGCUCCGAUCGUUCUACCGCUAUGGGUGGGUUAGUGAGGGAGGGAGAGAGUUGGUGAUGUACUGCGAGGUCUCAGGGUAAGCUUUUAUAGUGCGAGGGGGUCGGCUCCGUGGUGUCCCGAGGAUAAGCACGGCGGCGGCGAUCAUUACGGCGCCAGGUGAGGCCGUUGAGGUCGGAAGAGUGGCCGGUGAGGACGGUGGCCGCCCGCAGUUACUCCUGGGAGGAGGUGGGCUGCUCGGGACGCGCCACGCGGGUCGGGCAGAGACGUGGCCGUGCGGGACUCGUCGGGCGGCGGUCUUGGUCGUCGUGGACGGCGGUGGACGGCGCUAGGGGCCAAGCGAGGGUGUCGGCGAGGUUCCAGGUGGUCGAGCCGAUCCAGAGGAGGAUCAGGAUGAGAGGGGGAGGCAGCAGCUCGGUGCCGAAGCAUGCCAAACGCGCGCUCUGGACAUGCUCCGGAUGUGCACGUAGCCUGCUCGAGAAAAUGCUUCAGAGGUCUAGGAGCCUCUGAUGCCAGUUCCACUUUCCAUAGAGUUGAUUUGGAGUAUACUAUAGCUAUUUGACAUGGUGGUUUGGUCAGAUGAGCAGAUGCCCAAUGCAAGUUUAUGAACUUACAGAUUUCUGUCAUGCACAUGAAGUGUUCGACAGAAUGCUAGGGCAAGCUAGAGGACUCUGAUGGAUUUGAAACUUGGCAGGGUGGGGUCUCUUUAGAUGAUAGAGCUGGUGGUGAAUUUAGUUUGUCAAGAUGAGAAACGUGCUGGUGCAAGUUUUACCAGAAUUCAGUUCUGGACAGAAACUUUAGAGGCAUGUUUGGUGGACUAAAAAGAUUCCAAUGGAGCUGAUCUCCUGGAUUUAAGGUUUUGGUUGGGACGACUACAAGAUGGAAGAGUUUCAGAAUCAUUGGAGCUAGGAAAAAGAGGGUUGCAGUUAUAACUCAAGAAUGGGACAGAAUUUGAAAAGAGGAUGUUUCACUCAAACUUUUCAAGAGACAUAGCUAGGUUUUUGCACAAAAGUGAUUUAUAGGCAUCACCUGACUUCCCAUAAUUUUUUUGGGAUUUUAAAACAAAUAUUUAGAAUACUUGUAGUGCAACAGAAGCAUUUUAAGCAUUGAAAAUGCUAGUAAAAGAAUUGUUUGUGGCAAAUUUUACUAUGAAAAUGUUUCCUACUGUUAUUUAUGAUAUAAAUCAAAUGAUUUAAAAAACAACCAAGGACCACAACAUUUCACAAAAAUAAUCUUCUGUGGAGGGAAGAAUUUUGUAAAACAGAAAAUAGAAAAGCUCUGAAAUUAAUAACUGAGCUCAUAUAGCUCAAAAAAAUUAUUUCUGACCAAACUUUACUUAAUAAAAUUUGAUUAAAUUUUUGGGGUGUUACAAACUCUACCCCUCUUAAGAAAAAUCUCGUCCUCGAGAUUUGUUUAGGGCAGAAGAACUGAAUGCAAAUCACAACAAUGAUCAUAUGCAGAAUGUAAUCAUGGUAAUGCACUUACGACAUAUGCCCUAAAUUACAAUACAACGGUUGCAACACGUAAACUAGUGCUAGGUGCAACAACAAUGACCAUCUACGGUUCGAAGGUGAGAUCUACAGGCUCUUGUGGAAGGGUUCCCGGUGCUGUGGCACAUUCUUCUUCUUCCCGGGGAAGUGAAGGAUGUAAACGAAGAACACGCCCUUCCGGAGUUGGCCAUGGUGGUCCACCUAUGGCGAUGUGGGGAUUGAGGACAGUAAGAUAAUGGAGGUAAUCCAUUAGUUGCUGGGUUAGAUGCUCCUGGGCCAUCACAUACUGAAUGAGGUUGGCCAGAGCUGGGUCCCUUUCUAUACGUUCACAACGGAACGUGGCUUCUGCUCCAGAAGCUGCACGGCUCGGGAAAUAGUAGUAUUUCCUUUCACAGGCAGCGAGGUACAGUGAAUCAAAGACGGGUAACUGCUUCAUAAGCAACAGCCUCAAUAGCCAUGCCUGAGGUUGGCAUGGAUCUCCCGACGAAGACAACAUAUGGAGGGCCUUGAUUUAAAUCCUCUCGUGGGAUGUGCACAACUGCCCAGUAUUUCGAGGAAUCAGGGGUGAUCCUCAUUUUGAACAACUCAUACUGAGGUGGGUAGCUAGAACCAAGUGUAUUGCGGGUCAGAUCCCACAAAACCUUAACAAAACUACCAGGGCUUGCAUCUGGAGUUCGUAGGUAGGCUCCGGGGUGAGACAUGGAAGGAUGUAUAGAGAAGAGUGGUGCUCAAGUGUGGUGGUGGCUGGUGUGGUGCAUGAAUACGGCCCCUUAUAAGGUGCCUGGGUUAGGAAACACGAUGUGGCGCUGGUACGACUUGUGCAUCGGCUCCGACAUAGGGUUGUCCAAGUCAAAUUCUCGGACACCACUUCUCAAAAGGAGUGUGACGUAUUACUAUGUGUGUCGGCAGUUAUGUCUAGCAUUUACUCUGUCGCCACAUGCCAACCAUUUAUGCUAUAUCACACAUAGUACCAUUACAACAAUGGCACACAGGUAGUUUUACAAGCUCGCUACGCCAUGCGAUUGCUACCUUGAAAAUACAAGACAACAGGACUACUAGGAUUUGAUAACACUCCUGGUGGACUCAGUCCACCUCGUUGACAUCUAGUCGGGCGUGUCUUGUAGAUGUUGAGGCUUCUCCAUGAGCUUCAGUGUCGGAGUUGUUCGGGGUGGGAUGUGGAGUUGUAGUGCUGGGAUAGCGAUGAUGCCCCUCGUGGGGUCUCGUGGUCACAAUUCCAUUGGAGUAGGCCUCCAAGAGACGACGGAGUUCUCCUGGGGAGGCGAAGGUAUUGCCUGGAUAGAUGACAGGAGCAGACCUUGGGGCUCAACUGGCCUCCCAAGCAGCAUUACCGGGGUGUCAGUGUCGGUUGUAGCUUCACUUCUUACCGGUGUCAGGAGAGCAAGUGUCCUGCGAGUCGCAGUCAGAUCAUUAGUGACCUGAUCGAAUAGUGCCUCUUGCGCUCUCAGGUAGCGCACCAAAUGCACUAGAGCAGGAUCCGACCCAUGGUCUCCGUUGGCGACCUGGGUCGGGCUACCAUAGCCUUCACGACUAGGGUAGUAGAAGAAAGGGCGAGUGUUAACCCUUGGCGACAAAUGCCGAAGAUGAACCUCUCGGGCUGCAAGUUGGAUGGCUUGGUGCUCGUCAGAGGUUGUCCUCCCGGUGAACCGGUAGGGACGCUCUGAUGUGGUGCCCCUCCCGUAGAUGUGCACUGUGGCCCAGAAGUGAUGGAUGGCAUCACUUGUGUGUUCCUGGUACACAACAUAUUCUGGGGGUUCGUCUAUGCCAAAAUCGACGAGUGAGAUUGGCGAGGAUCGCUACGAAAUCUCCAAGCUCGGAUGCGGUGGUCUCGUUGCGGACGAUGGGACCAGGCAUCUUGGUGGUUUUAAAAUCAGGGUGCGAGUGAGAGUUGUGAUGUGCCGAGUUCGGGCAAGGCUUCCUUUAUAAGCCAGCGGAGUCUUCCAUCGCACGCUUGCGGAUGGGAUAACUCAGGUGUCGGCUACGGGCGCACGGCCUAUGGCCAAGGACGAUAGGUUGGGCACCGACUGUCAAAAAGAUGUCGGCUCGCCACCGUGCAGGCUAUCGGAUAGGAUGAGCUUGACGGUGGAUAAGAAAGGAUAUGGACGGUGUGGAAACCUAGGGAUAGUGACCAGACUAAGAUAGGAUUAGCUGGUGGUCAGCUUGGCUCUGAUACCAAGGUUGUCGGGGCUGGAUUUCCGGGACAUAAAUCCCAGUAAACGACCCUUGUGUCAUCACCAGCCCCAGGAUUACUGUUGCUGGUGGACAUUUCCUUGAUAUAGAAUUCCAAGCAAUUACAAGAGAUUGGAUACAAGACCACAAAGGUCCAAUGAAUAUAACAAGGAUCUCUAGUGGUGGAUGACGGAAGCGACUCGUGGAUCUCCAAUGUUGAUGGGACUCCAUUCCCACGGGAACAGCUGACCUGGAUAACUCAUAUCUCACGUGGCUGCUAUCUCCAAAUCCUAGGUUGCGGGGGAGUCUCUGUAAUGCUCCUCUCUGAGUCAUGAUCUGGCCAAGACAAUAGCCAGGGACAAGCCAAUGAGUACGUUUGAAUGUACUCGCAAACAUCAAGAACAAAAGAUAUACCGGAUGCAUAUGCUCAUGAUGAAUUAAAUUGCAUGCAUGUGCUGACUGAGUAUUAAAGCAUGGCAUGACAAUUAUUCAUACAGAAAAUAAGUCAUGUUAUUAGUAAAUCAAAGAAAUGAAAUGGAACGUUGGGCGUUGGACCGCCCAAGAAAUUCCAAGAGAAAUGACAAACGGGUAUCUAAAAGAGAAUUGGGCGAGACAAGACCGCCCGAGAACUCAAGUGACGCCACGAGAGGUCUUGAAAAGAAAUGCCAAACGGGUGUCUAAAAGCGACACCUCGUAAGGUCUUGAAAAUGAAUGCCACAGUCGGGUGUCUGAGCGAUGCCUCAUAAAGGGCUUAUAAGAAAAAUAAUAACAUGAGUAUCCAGGUGGACUAGCCAUCCCAAGUGAUACUCAGAAAUAAAAAAAUAAACUUGAGUAUCCCGGGUAGUCUAGCCAUCCCAAGAGAUACUCAAGGUUAAACAUAAGAGGAAAAGGUUAGUCCACAAAAAUAUUCAUAUCAUCAAUAAUAUUCAAAAUGGCACCAGUAGUGACAAUAAUUACCCUGCAGAACGGUCCAUGAUCAAUUUAGUUAUUUCCUCCGGAGACUGACACUAAGACCGACACUUGACCAACCCAGACUAUAGUCCUUAACCAUGGACACGGCUAUUCGAAUAGAUAUAACUCUGCAGAGGGUGUACUCUUUACCCACGUGUAUAGGAUUUCUUUAGCCAGCACCGAGACGCUGACUAAUUCCCGUUACGGCCUUUGGAUUGAAAACACACCUGACCAGCACACACCAGAUUAACUUUCCGGAUGCCAGGAAUCACCCAAAGCAUCGCUCAAGAGAAACUCUAAGGCGGGGAGACCAUCGUCUCGAGUAGCAUGGGAUCACUAUUAACACGCGCGGAUUACAAGGGGUGCCCCCCUCUCGGCCCAGCAGGAUACACCCAUGCCCCCUGGCCCGAUGACUGGCAUUGCAGCCGGUACCUGGAAACCCUCAUCGUGACCUCUCUGUACGGUGUGUGCAGGGAAAGGGGUUAACAACUUACUGAACUGUACCCAGGCUGUGGCCGGGACAAGUGGUAGCACGAAACCGGUAUGGGGGUUACCGGAACAAGACUCGAUCUAUGGUUAACUCAGGAGGUUUAAGUUUGCCUGCAGUGGUUAGCACAAUAUAAAUCCUUGGCAGUACCCAACAGGAUAACCACCUGGUAUGUCCCAACAUACCCUCAAUGAUUACUCUCGUCACAACGAGAUUUCAGUCUCACAGUCACUUUUCUCGUGACUGAUUCUUCCUGCAAAUUAUCCUGGACCAACACAGGCACAUAUGGAACGUGAAAGUAACUUUACUCACUUAUACUUCAUAUUUAAGUGAAAAGAAAAUACCAUCAAGGGGAUCAUGCAUGUAUGACCAACAAUAUGCAAACUCUAUAGGAAUUCAACAUGUUCAUAAUUCAAAUACACAUGCCACAAAUAAU